RNAcentral lists this ribosomal RNA (498 nucleotides) under uncultured bacterium. RNAcentral's name for it is "partial 16S ribosomal RNA". It matches the Rfam family "Bacterial small subunit ribosomal RNA", at positions 30 to 523 of the family's 1533-position model. The record is from RNAcentral.
AUUGAACGCUGGCGGCAUGCCUUACACAUGCAAGUCGAACGGAUUUUGGGGCUUGCUCCAAAGUUAGUGGCGAACGGGUGAGUAAAGCAUCGGAACGUACCCAGUCGUGGGGGAUAACGUAGCGAAAGUUACGCUAAUACCGCAUACGAUCUGAGGAUGAAAGCGGGGGACCUUCGGGCCUCGCGCGAUUGGAGCGGCCGAUGUCGGAUUAGCUAGUUGGUGAGGUAAAGGCUCACAAAGGCGACGAUCCGUAGCUGGUCUGAGAGGACGACCAGCCACACUGGGACUGAGACACGGCCCAGACUCCUACGGGAGGCAGCAGUGGGGAAUUUUGGACAAUGGGCGAAAGCCUGAUCCAGCCAUGCCGCGUGAGUGAAGAAGGCCUUCGGGUUGUAAAGCUCUUUCAGACGGAAAGAAAUCUUUCGGGUGAAUAUCCCGGAAGGAUGACGGUACCGUAAGAAGAAGCACCGGCUAACUACGUGCCAGCCGCCGCGGUAA